This 106-nucleotide small nuclear RNA is filed under the name Vulpes vulpes (red fox). Lineage: Eukaryota; Metazoa; Chordata; Mammalia; Carnivora; Canidae. The record is from RNAcentral.
UUGCUUGCUUUGGCAGUACAUAUACUAAAAUUGGAACUAUACAGAAAAGGUUAGUUAUGACUCCUCCACAAGGAUGACACGCAAAUUCAUGGUGUUCCAUAUUUUU